Molecule: unclassified non-coding RNA, 276 nt
Filed under: plant metagenome
Description: partial contains small subunit ribosomal RNA, internal transcribed spacer 1, and 5.8S ribosomal RNA
Source: RNAcentral
GAUCCGUUGGUGAACCAGCGGAGGGAUCAUUACAGAGUUUAUUAUAACUCCUAAACCCAUGUGAACCUACCUUCUGUUGCCUCGGCAGGCAAGUCGUAUCUUGCUACCCUAUAGGACCCUAUCUUGUAAGACGUUACCUUAUAAGGUCCUAUCCGGUAGAGAGAUGCGGUACUACCUGCCGGUGGACUGAAAAAAAAAUUCUGUUUAAUAAAUGGUAUUCUGAAUCGUUAUAUGGAAAUUAAGUUAAAACUUUCAACAACGGAUCUCUUGGUUCUG